RNAcentral lists this ribosomal RNA (293 nucleotides) under uncultured bacterium. RNAcentral describes it as "partial 16S ribosomal RNA". The record is from RNAcentral.
GGACUACCGGGGUAUCUAAUCCCGUUCGCUCCCCACGCUUUCGCACCUCAGCGUCAGUGUUAGCCCAGAGCACUGCCUUCGCCAUCGGUAUUCCUCCUGAUCUCUACGCAUUUCACCGCUACACCAGGAAUUCCAUGCUCCUCUGCCACACUCAAGCCCGGCAGUCUCCAAGGCACUGUUCACGUUGAGCGCUGAACCUUUCACCUCAGACUUACCGAACCGCCUACGCGCGCUUUACGCCCAGUAACUUCGGACAACGCUCGCCCCCUACGUAUUACCGCGGCUGCUGGCAC